GAUGAAGAACGUAGCGAAAUGCGAUAAGUAAUGUGAAUUGCAGAAUUCAGUGAAUCAUCGAAUCUUUGAACGCACAUUGCGCCCGCCAGUAUUCUGGCGGGCAUGCCUGUUCGAGCGUCAUUACAACCCUCAGGCCCCCGGGCCUGGCGUUGGGGAUCGGCGGAAGCCCCCUGUGGGCACACGCCGUCCCUCAAAUACAGUGGCGGUCCCGCCGCAGCUUCCAUUGCGUAGUAGCUAACAUCUCGCAACUGGAGAGCGGCGCGGCCAUGCCGUAAAACACCCAACUUCUGAAUGUUGACCUCGAAUCAGGUAGGAAUACCCGCUGAACUUAAGCAUAUCAAUAAGCGGAGGA
This 352-nucleotide unclassified non-coding RNA is filed under the name soil metagenome. RNAcentral's name for it is "partial contains 5.8S ribosomal RNA, internal transcribed spacer 2, and large subunit ribosomal RNA". The stretch from base 1 to 120 matches the Rfam family "5.8S ribosomal RNA", at positions 35 to 154 of the family's 154-position model. The record is from RNAcentral.